This 590-nucleotide ribosomal RNA is filed under the name Pseudomonas aeruginosa. Its description in RNAcentral is "partial 23S ribosomal RNA". It matches the Rfam family "Bacterial large subunit ribosomal RNA", at positions 2259 to 2843 of the family's 2925-position model. Lineage: Bacteria; Pseudomonadati; Pseudomonadota; Gammaproteobacteria; Pseudomonadales; Pseudomonadaceae. The record is from RNAcentral.
UGGUGGGCAGUUUGACUGGGGCGGUCUCCUCCUAAAGAGUAACGGAGGAGUACGAAGGUGCGCUCAGACCGGUCGGAAAUCGGUCGCAGAGUAUAAAGGCAAAAGCGCGCUUGACUGCGAGACAGACACGUCGAGCAGGUACGAAAGUAGGUCUUAGUGAUCCGGUGGUUCUGUAUGGAAGGGCCAUCGCUCAACGGAUAAAAGGUACUCCGGGGAUAACAGGCUGAUACCGCCCAAGAGUUCAUAUCGACGGCGGUGUUUGGCACCUCGAUGUCGGCUCAUCACAUCCUGGGGCUGAAGCCGGUCCCAAGGGUAUGGCUGUUCGCCAUUUAAAGUGGUACGCGAGCUGGGUUUAGAACGUCGUGAGACAGUUCGGUCCCUAUCUGCCGUGGACGUUUGAGAUUUGAGAGGGGCUGCUCCUAGUACGAGAGGACCGGAGUGGACGAACCUCUGGUGUUCCGGUUGUCACGCCAGUGGCAUUGCCGGGUAGCUAUGUUCGGAAAAGAUAACCGCUGAAAGCAUCUAAGCGGGAAACUUGCCUCAAGAUGAGAUCUCACUGGGAACUUGAUUCCCCUGAAGGGCCGUCGAAG